GGGCGUAUAGCUCAGUUGGUUAGAGCGCAGUCCUGAUAAGACUGAGGUCGAUGGUUCGAGCCCAUCUACGCCCACGA
Molecule: transfer RNA, 77 nt
Filed under: Actinobaculum massiliense ACS-171-V-Col2
Lineage: Bacteria; Bacillati; Actinomycetota; Actinomycetes; Actinomycetales; Actinomycetaceae
Description: tRNA-Ile
Rfam family: tRNA
About the family: Transfer RNA (tRNA) molecules are approximately 80 nucleotides in length.
Source: RNAcentral